RNAcentral lists this long non-coding RNA (13732 nucleotides) under Homo sapiens (human). Its description in RNAcentral is "non-protein coding lnc-RPS25-1:23". The record is from RNAcentral. Lineage: Eukaryota; Metazoa; Chordata; Mammalia; Primates; Hominidae.
AGAGCUGGGCGGGUUAAGGAGGAGGAUGGCGCCGUCCUGCAGAUGUGCGGGGACGCGCGCCCGCCGCAACGUGAGGCUCAUAGGCCACACGCAACUCUGAGCAUUGGCCAGGACCUGUAGUAGCCAACAGGACACUUAAUAACUGAUGUAUAGGUGCGCACUGUGUGUCCAGAGCUUUACGUUAACCACCUCACUGUGUCAUCUCGCUGAGGUUGUGUGGUUUACUAUUACUGCUAUUAGCGCAUUUUUAAGCGGGAAACCUGAGGCAUGAGGAGGUAAGGAGCUUUGAGGAGGGUUGCACGGGUGUUAAGUAGCGCGGUCAGCACCUGAUCCCCGUCACUCAUCAGUACGGCGGUUGGAGGGGAAUGCCUGCUGGAGGGGACCACGAACUAAACUCAAUCGCCCCCACAGGGUGUGCUCGCCGUGGUUCCUAUAAAGCUGUAAGGGAGGCUACACAGCGUGCAGCGUUGUUGCUGAGGGAUCGCACACUUCCCGUAGAUUUUGUUGCUAGUUCUGGUGCACUAACGUGGAUGGACUGCUUGCUGUCUGUAGGGCCUGCCCACGGUCAGCGCUACAGAAUUCAGGCCCGGCGUAGCUACUUCCAACCCUUCAGAUCUUCACUUCCUGUUGGAACUGUCCUCUAGACUGUAGCCUCUGCCAGAAAUAAUUCAUUUUGAAUACCCUUGUAACACCCAAUUCCUUGAUCUCCUAUCAUUCCCCUGGCAGGGUCAGUCCUCGACCUUGUCCCCCCAAAUUGCUUCGUCUCUGAAUCCAGACUCUGAAGUUCGGCUCUGCCUACCACCUUAAGUUAUCCGAUGUGGCCUUACCGUCAGCCUAGUCUUUGACUACAGGAAGACCUCUCUUCCUGAAGAAGACGCCUCUUUUCAUCCAUUCACUCUGGAAAUGAUUCAACGUCUGCCUGCUGCUGAUGCUUUACUCUCCACCAGGGGUUUUCGAAGUGUGCUUCCCCAUUCCCCCUGGGCCUAUAGCAUCAGCAUCAGGGAACUUGUCAGUAACGCACAUUCUUGGGCCCCAACCCAGAACUACUGAAUCAGAAACUUGGGGUGAGGGCCUGUCGUGGUGGCUCAUGCCUGUAAUCCCAACACUUUGGGAAGCAGAGGAGGGUGGAUCACCUGAGGUCAGGAGUUGAGGACCAGCCUGGCUAACAUGGUGAAACCCCGUCUCUACUAAAAAUAGAAAAAUUAGCCAGAUGUGGUGGCGUGUGCCCAUAAUCCUAGCUACUCGGGAGACUGAGGCAGGAGACUCGCUUGAACCCAAGAGGCGGAGGUUGCAGUGAGCCAAGAUUGCACCACUGCACUCUAGCCUGGGCGACAGAGUGAGACUCCGUCUCAAAAAAAAAAAAAGAACUCAGGGUGAGGCCCAGCCGGCUGUGGUUUUAUGAGCUUUUCAGGGGAUACUGAUGCGGGAUCAAAUUUGAGAAGCACUGGUCUAGGUCUUAGAUCCUCUUGCUUCAGUUUCGUCAUUGGAUCUCAGGAAUGUUCAGCUGCCCUCUCAAGGCAACUUCUUACUUCACUUGACCUUCCAAGACCUCUCGUUCUGUCAAACCCCAAUUUUGGAUCAACCCAGGCAUGCUUCCCUCAUGUGUUCCAAAGCUGGUCAGAGUAGUCUACACCACUAUCUGCUUCAACUUCUAGUAACGUCUAAGCCUUCAGCAGUUUUGCUUAUGAAACUGCUUCACUGAAGUUCUCCACCACCAAGUAGUCAGCUGGCAUCGGAAUUCGGCUUGUGUCAAAUGGAACUCAACAUCUUCCUCUUCAGGACAUCCCCUAUUUUCAUCCUCCCAGUGAAUGACACCACCAAGUUAAAGCCUGGAGGCUGGGUGUAGUGGUUCAUGCCUGUAAUCCCAGUAGUUUAGGAAACCGAGGUGGGCAGAUGGCUUGCGCCCAGGUGUUUGAGAGCAGCCUGGCCAACAUGGCGAAACCCUGUCUCUACAAAAAAGUACUGCCAGGCGCGGUGGCUUACGCCUGUAAUCCCAGCACUUUGGGAGGCUAAGCAGGCAGAUCACCUCAGGUCAGGAGUUCAAGACCAGGCUGGGCCAACAUGGCAAAACCCCAUCUCUACUAAAAAUACAAAAAUUAGCCUGGUGUGGUGGCAUGUGUCUAGUCCCAGCUACUCGAGAGGCUGAGGCAGGGGAACUGCUUGAACCCAGGAGGCGGGGGUUGCACUGAACCUGUUGCGCCACUGCAUUCCAGCCUGGGUGGCAGAGCAAGACUCUUAUCUCAAAAACAACCAAACACAAAACAAAAAUUAGCUGGGUCUGGUGACAUGUGCUUAUAGUCCCAGCUACUUGGGGGGCUGAGGCAGGAGGAUUGCUUGAGCCUGGGAGGUUGAGGCUGCAGCAAUGAGCUGUGUUUGUGCCACUGCACUCUAGCCUGGACAACAAAAUGAGACCUUGUCUCAAAAAGAAAAAAAAAAAGCAGGGUGCAGUGGCUGACGCCUGUAAUCCCAGCACUUUGGGAGGCCGAGGCGGGCGGAUCAGAAGGUCAGGAGAUCGAGACCAUCCUGGCUAACAAGGUGAAACCCUAUCUUUACUAAAAAUACAAAAACUUAGUCGGGUGUGGUGGCACGCACCUGUAGUACCAACUACUCAGGAGGCUUAGGCUGGAGAAUCGCUUGAACCCAGGAGGUGGAGGUUGCAGUGAGCCGAGAUUGCGCCACUGCACUCCAGCCUGCCAGCCUGGGCAACAGAGCGAGAUUCUGUCUCAAAAAACAAAAACAAAAAAACCCAGAAUAACUCACCCCAAACUUCCAGGUUUUUUUUUUUUUUGAGACGGAGUCUUGCUGUCGCCCAGGCUGGAGUGCAGUGGUUAGAUCUCAGCUCACUGCAACCUCCGCUUCCUGGGUUCAAGUGAUUCUUCUGUCUCAGCCUCCUGAGUAGCUGGGAUUACAGGUGUGCGCCACCAUGCCUGGCUAAAUUUUGUAUUUUUAGUAGAGAUAGGGUUUCACCAUGUUGGUCAGGCUGGUCUCAAACUCCUGACCUCAGGUGAUCCACCCGCCUCGGCCUCCCAAAGUGCCAGGAUUACAGGCGUAAAACUCCCAUGCUGGGCUGGUCAAAGUGCUGGGAUUACAGGCAUAAGACAACGCACCUGGAACUUGGCUUGUGUCAAAUGGAACUCAACAUCUUCCCUUUUACUAAACCCCACCCAACAUUCACUGCGCACAAGUUGUCUUAUUCACUGGACUUCUAAUAUGUUUAAGGGGUCUGUCCCCAUUUAUUUUUUGAAACGGGGUCUUUCUGUGUUGCCCAGGCUGGAGUGCAGUGGUUGUUCACAGGUGCCAACCUACUAUUGAUCAGCAUGGGAGCUUUGGGGUUUUAAAACAAAUUUUUUAAGCCAGUCAUAUUUAGCAGUGGGGGGUUGUAUACCAACUUUAGUGACACUAAUGUUAUUAAAUUCUAAUAACCCACUACCAUCAGACCAGCCCAGCUUGGGAGUUUUGACCUGCUCCAUUUCCGACCUGGGCUGUUUCACCCCUCCAUAGACAACCUGGAUAGUCCCCUGUCCUGGGAGGUCACCAUGUUGAAGCUGAACUUAGUGUGGACACCCAAACUGCAUAAUGCAUUACAGUCUAGAACUCCUGGGCUCAAGGGAUCCUCCCACCUCAGCCUCCUGAGUAGCUAGGACCACAGGGUGCACCACCGCGCCCAGCUGUCUUCCUUUUUUUUUCUGAGACCGAGCCUCACUCAGCUGUCCAAGCUAGAGUGCAGUGGUGUGAUCUCCAUUCACUGCAACCACUGUCUCCCUGGUUCAAGCGAUUCUCCUGUCUCAGCCUCCUGAGUAGCUGGGAUUACAGGAACCUACCAUCAUGCCCGGCUAAUUUUUGUAUUUUAGUAGAGAUGGGGUUUUACUAUGUUGGCCAAGCUAGUCUUGAACUCCCGACCUCAGGUGAUCUGCCCACCUUGGCCUCCCAAAGUGCUAGGAUUAUAGGCAUGAGCCACCACGCCCAGCCCCCUACCCUUAAAAAAAUUAUAUAUAUAUAUAAUAGAGACAGGGUUGCGCUAUGUUGCCCAGGCUGGUCUUGAACUCCUGGGCUCAAGGGAUCCUCCUGCCUUGGCCUCAAAAGUGCUGGAAUUACAGGCAUGGGCCACUGCACCCAGCCUAUCUUACAUUUUUUUUAAACUCAGAGCAUACCUCAUUUCAAUUUUCCUCCUCUCUUGCUUGGGUUCAUGUAAAAUCUUUCUAACUGGUUUCCAAGUGUCUGCUCUAUUAUGCUCCGUAUAUCCUCCAUACUCUAGUCUGCUCCUACGAACUUCAGCAUCUUCGGCCCCUCUGCCUGGAAUUUACAUCUUUCCAAUCCUGCCUCACAAAUUUUCUAUUAUAUAAGGCUCCGAAAUAUGAACUAGAAGUAAUUUCCGUGAAGCUGAUGACUUUAUCUGGCAUAUGGUAAGCUCUGAAUCAAUGUUUAUUGAAAGAAUGAAAUGUCACCCCUUUGUGAAGCCUUCCAGAGUUGUCCCUGAAGAAUUAAUUUCUCAACUCCAAGGUCCUUUGCUCAUCCUGUCAUCAUUUUUGUCUAGUAGUCAGUUGAAAACCAAUAAUUGAAAAGCUUGGCCGGACACGGUGGCUCAUGCCUGUAAUCCCAGCACUCUGGGAGGCCGAGGCAGGCGGAUCACAAGGUCAGGAAAUCAAGACCAUCCUGGCUAACACGGUGAAACCCCGUCUCUACUAAAAAUGCAAAAAAUUAGCCAGGCAUGGUGGUGGGCACCUGUAGUCCCAGCUACUCAGGAGGUGAGGCAAGAGAAUGGGGUGAACCCAGGAGGCGGAGUUUGCAGUGAGCCGAGAUCGCGCCACUGCAUUCCAGCCUGGAUGACACAGCGAGACUCUGUCUCUAAAAAAAAAAAAAAAAAAAAGGCUCCUCAAGUGCAGGGAUUGUGUUCUAUUCAUGCCCGACUCUUAAUUAACAGAUGGCGGCUCUCUAUGUACACUUGUCAAAUUAAGUAGAAAACAUCAAAACCCAGGCACCCUGAGGUUAAGAUGCCCUUUAGUGGUGGGAGUUAGUGCAUGGAAGGAGCCCAGGAAGCAUGCAGCUAACAGCCUGCUAAUUAGUAGUAUCAAGCUACCAAAUGGGCUCAUGGGUAGCUUUCCUUAAAAAUUGUAAAAAAAUGGGCCGGGCAUGGUGGCUCACGCCUGUAAUCCCAGCACUUUGGGAGGCCAAGGCGGGUGGAUCACGAGGUCCAGAGUUUGAGACCAGCCUGACCAACAUGGUGAAACCGUGUCUCUACUAAAAAUACAAAAAUUAGCCAGGCAUGCUGGCGCACACCUGUAAUCCCAGCUACUCAGGAAGCUGACGCAAGAGAAUCGCUUGAACCCAGAGGCAGAGGUUGCAAUGAGCUGAGAUUGCACCAUUGCACUCCGGCCUGAGUGACAGAGCGGGACUUCAUCUCAAAAAAAAAAAUUGUACAAAAUUUCCUUUAUUAAAAAUUGUAGCUCCCUCUCUCUCUCCCUCUCCCCCUCCCCCUCCCUCUCCACGGUCUCCCUCUGAUGCCACCAAAGUUAUGAAGGCCGAGGCUGGACUGUACUGCCGCCAUCUCGGCUCACUGCAACCUCCCUGCCUGAUUCUCCUGCCUCAGCCUGCAGAGUGCCUGGGAUUGCAGGCGCGUGCCGCCACGCCUGACUGGUUUUUGCAUUUUUUGGUGGAGACAGGGUUUCGCCGUGUUGACCGGGCUGGUCUCCAGCUCCUGACCGCGAGUGAUCUGCCUGCCUCGGCCCCCCGAGAUGCCGGGAUUGCAGACGGAGUCUCGCUCACUCAGUGCUCAAUGUUGCCCAGGCUGGAGUGCAGUGACGUGAUCUCGGCUCGCUACAACCUCCACCUCCCAGCCGCCUGCCUUGGCCUCCCAAAGUGCCGAGAUUGCAACCUCUGCCCGGCCGCCACCCCGUCUGGGAAGUGAGGAGCGUCUCUGCCUGGCCGCCCAUCGUCUGGGAUGUGAGGAGCCCCUCUGCCCGGCUGCCCAGUCUGGGAAGUGAGGAGCGCCUCUUCCCGGCCGCCAUCCCGUCUAGGAAGUGAGGAGCGUCUCUGCCUGGCUGCCCAUUGUCUGAGAUGUGGGGAUUGCCUCUGCCCCACUGCCCCGUCUGGGAUGUGAGGAGCGCCUCUGCCCGGCCGCGACCCUGUCUAGGAACUGAGGAGUGUCUCUGCCCGAUCGCCACCCAGUCUGCGAGGUGAGGAGCGUCUCUGCCCGGCCGCCCCGUCUGAGAAGUGAGGAGCCCCUCCGCCCGGCAGCCACCCCGUCUGGGAAGUGAGGAGCUCCUCCGCCCGGCAGCCGCCCCGUCUGGGAAGUGAGGAGCCCCUCCGCCCGGCAGCCGCCCCGUCCGGGAAGUGAGGAGCGUCUCCGCCCGGCAGCCACCCUGUCCGGGAGGUGGGGGGCAGCCCCCGCCUGGCCAGCCGCCCCGUCCGGGAGGGAGGUGGGGGGCGCCUCUGCCCGGCCGCCUCGUCUGGGAAGUGAGGAGCCCCUCUGCCCGGCUGCCACCCCGUCUGGGAGGUGUACCCGACAGCUCAUUGGGAACGGGCCAUGAUGAUGAUGGCGGUUUUGUUGAAUAGAAAAGGGGGAAAUGUGGGGAAAAGAGAGAGAUCAGAUUGUUACUGUGUCUGUGUAGAAAGAAGUAGACAUGGGAGACUCCAUUUUGUUCUGUACUAAGAAAAAUUCUUCUGCCUUGGGAUGCUGUUAAUCUAUAACCUUACCCCCAACCCCGUGCUCUCUGAAACAUGUGCUGUAUCCACUCAGGGUUAAAUGGAUUAAGGGCGGUGCAAGAUGUGCUUUGUUAAACAGAUGCUUGAAGGCAGCAUGGUCAUUAAGAGUCAUCACCACUCCCUAAUUUCAAGUACCCAGGGACACAAACACGGUGGAAGGCCGCAGGGUCCUCUGCCUAGGAAAACCAGAGAUGCUUGUUCACAUGUUUAUCUGCUGACCUUCCCUCCACUAUUGUCCUAUGACCCUGCCAAAUCCCCCUCUCCGAGAAACACCCAAGAAUGAUCAAUAAAUACUAAAAGAACAAAAAAAAAAAAACAAACACAAAACAAAAAAACCCAAAACAACAACAACAACAACAAAAAUUGUAGCCCAGGUGCGGUAGUUCAUGCCUGUAAUCCCAGCACUUUGGGAGGCCAAGGUAGGUGAAUCACUUGAGAUCAGGAGUUCGAAACCAGCCUAGCCAACAUGUGGCCAACAUAGCGAAACCUGGUCUCUACUAAAAAUACAAAAAGCCAGGUGUGUUGGUGCUCACCUGUAGUCCCAGCUACUCAGGAGGUUGAGGCACGAGAAUCACUUGAAACCAGGAGGCUGAGGUUGCAGUGAGCUGAGAUCAUGCCACCGCACUCAAGCCUGGGUGACAGAGCUAGACUGUCUCAAAAAACAAACAGACAAACAAAAACUAUAGGCUGGACACGGUAGCUCAUGCCUGUAAUCCCAACGGGCAGAUUGCUUGAGCUCAGGAGUUUGAGACCAGCCUGGGCAACAUGGCAAAACCUCUUCUCUACUAAAAAUAUAAAAAAUUAGCCAGGCAGGAUUGUGUGUGUCUGUGGUCCCAGCUACCAGGGAGGCUGAGAUAGGACGAUUACUUGAGCCCAGGAGGCAGAGGUUGCAGUGAGCUGAGAUCUUACCACUGCAUUCCAGCAAGACUCAGUCUCAAAAAAAAAAAAGAAAAAAAAAAAAAGAAAAAUUGUAAAAAGCAAUUUCUUGUAAAAAACAAAAACUGUACAGAGGCUACAAACAAUUGCCCCAUUUAUGUUGCCUACCCAGUCCUCAAAGAUGGCCAUUGCUCUUUGACACCUAUAUUGAUCAAGAUGUUUUCUCUGUUUAGACUUCAUAUAUAUGUGAACAUAAUUUCUGCCAUAUUUGGAGUAAUUUUGAACACACUGUUCUCCUACUCUUUUUUAAUUCCUCAAAUUGUAUUUUGGUUAUCUUUUUUUUUCCUUUUGAGAUGGAGUUUCACUCUUGUUGCCCAGGCUGGAGUGCAAUGGUGCCAUCUCAGCUCACAACAACCUCCGCCUCCCGGGUUUGAGCGAUUCUCCUGCCUCAGCCUCCCGAGUAGCUGGGAUUACAGCUAUGCACCACCACGCCUGGCUAAUUUUGUAUUUUUAAUAGAAGCAGGGUUUCUCCAUGUUGGUCAGGCGGGUCUCGAACUCUCGAACUCAAGUGAUCCACCCGCCUCGGCCUCCCAAAGUGCUGGGAUUGCAGGCGUGAGUCACCGUGCCUGGCCUUGUGGAUAUCUUUCUAUGUCAGUACAUAGAACUUGAUAUUAAGUGCUAUCUAUAUACUGAUGACUCUCAGUGUAUUUACAUUUUCAGCUCAGACUUCUCUUCUGAACUCUAGACUUAUAAAUAUCUACUUGACAUUGACAUAACCACCCUGAUGUCUCACAGAUUCCUUUUUUUUUUUUUUUUGAGAUGGAGUUUUGCUCUUGUUGCCUAGGCUGGAGUGCAAUGGCGUGAGCUCAGCUCACCACAACCUCCGCCUCCUGGGUUCAAGCUCAAGCAAUUCUCCUGCCUCAGCCUCCCAAGUAGCUGGGAUUACAGGCAUGUGCCACCACACCCAGCUAAUUUUGUAUUUUUUUUUUUUUUUUUAGUAGAGACGGGGUUUCUCCGUGUUGAUCAGGCUGGUCUCGAACUCCCCACCUCAGGUGAUCCACCCACCUCGGCCUCCCAAAGUGCUAGGAUUACAGGCGUGAGCCACUGUGCCCGGCCCCACCCCCCCGCUUUUUUUUUUGAGAUGGAGUCUUGCUCUGUCACCCAGGCUGGAGUGCAGCUGUGUGAUCUCAGCUCAGGGCAACUUCUGCCUCCUGGGUUCACGCAAUUCUCUUGUCUCAGUCUCCUGUGUAGCUGGGAUUACAGGCGCGUGCCACCACGUCUGGCUAUUUUUUUUUUUCUUUUUCUUUUUUUGAGACAGUGUCUAGCUCUGUCACCCAGGCUGGAGUGCAGUGGCGCGAUCUCGGCUCACUGCAACCUCUGCCUCCUGGGUUCAAACGAUUCUCCUGCCUCAGCCUCCCAAGUAUCUGGGAUUACAGGCGCCCGCCACCACGCCCAGCUAAUUUUUGUAUUUUUAGUAGAGACAGGGUUUCACCCUGUUGGCCAGUCUGGUCUCAAACUCCUGACCUCAUGAUCCGCCUGCCUCAGCCUCCCAAAGUGCUGGGAUUACAAGCGUGAGCCACCGUACCUGGCUAAUUUUUGCAUUUUUAGUAGAGACGGGGUUUCACCAUGUUGGCCAGGCUGGUCUCAAACUCCUGAACUCAGUGAUCCUCCCACCUCAGCCUCCCAAAGUGCUGGGAUUAUAGGUGUGAGCCACCGCCCCUGGCCUCACAGAUUCCUUUUUUUUUUUUUUUAAUUGGAGACAGGAUCUUGCUCUGUCACUACUCAGGCUGGAGUGCAGUGGCACAAUUAUGACUCACUGCAGGCUUGAUCCCCCUGGGCUCAAGCAAUCCUCCCACCUCAGCCUCCCAAGUAGCUGGGACCACAGGCACACGCCACCACGCCCAGCUUAUUUAUUUUUUGUAGAGAGGAGGUCUCACCAGGUUGCCCAGGCUGGUUUCCAACUCCUGGGCUCAAGUGAUCCACCCACCUCUGCCUCCCCAAGUACUGGGAUUACAGGUGUGAGCCAUCGUGCCCGGACUUGUCUCACAGAUACUAAACACAGAACGCUCAAACCUGCUACUCCUGCAGGCUUCCUCUCCUCACCAUUCACCUACUUGCUCAAACCAAAAACCUCAGAGUCAUUCUUGCCUUUUCCUUCUUUUUUUUUUUUUUUGAGACAGAGUCCCGCUCUGUCACCCAGGCUGGAGUGCAGUGGCGCGAUCUGGGCUCACUGCAGGCUCCACCUCCCAGGUUCAUGCCAUUCUCCUGCCUCAGCCUCCAGAGUAGCUGGGAAUACAGGCGUCUGCCACCACACCGGCUAAUUUUUUGUAUUUUUAGUAGAGAUGGGGUUUCACUGUGUUAGCCAGGAUGGUCUCGAUCUCCUGACCUCGUGAUCCGGCUGCCUCAGCCUCCCAAAGUGCUAGGAUUACAGGCGUGAGCCACCACGCCCGGCCAUUCUUGCCUUUUCUUCUCCUGCAGUCACUACUAUUGACUUGUUUUUUCGACCUCCACGAUGCAUCAUCAAAUUGUUCUUCUCCCUGUCUCCAUCUCUACUGCCACUACUCCUCCAACCGGCCUGAUUUACCGCAGUCACCUCCUAAUGGGUGUUCCUGCUUCCAUGUUGGCUUCUCCCCACAACAAGCCACUUUCAAUGAAUGGCUAAUUGUGAUUAACAACGACAACAACAAACAGUUAUGUAAGUUACUUCAAUUACUUUCCACCAUACUGGAAAAAAAUCCAAAUGCCCUGUCAUAGCCUAGGAAAGCCUACCCUGCCCCUCUCCCAGUUUUACCUUGGAUCUUUCUGCCCUUGUUUAGUGUAUUCUCUCUUCCAUGGUCUUAUCCCGUUUGCUCAAAAGGCCAAGGUAUGUCUCUACCUCCAGGGCUUUGUCCAUUCUAAUGCCUCUAUUAGAAUGCUUUUCCUCCGGCCUGGGGCGGUGGCUUAUGCUUGUAAUCCCAACACUUUGGGAAGCCAAGGCAGGGAGAUCACGAGGUCAGGAGUUCAAGACCAGCCUGGCCAACAUGGUAAAACCCUGUCUCUACUAAAGGUACAAAAAGUUAGCCGGGUGUGGUGGUGUGCCCCUGUAAUCCCAGCUACUCGGGAGGCUGAGGCAGGAGAAGCUUGAACCCGGGAGGCAGAGGUUGCAGUGGGCCAAGAUUGUGCCAUUGCACUCCAGCCUGGGUGACGGCACAAGACUCUGUCUCAAAAAAAAAAAAAAAAAGUAAAGGAAUGCUUUUCCUUUCUGUUCUUCAGCCUGGCUAACUUCUCCUCAUGCUACAGGUCUCAGUUAAAAUGUCACUUUCUUAGAAAGGUCCUCUCUGAUCUCCCCUCCAAUCUAAAUUAGAUGCCAAUAUUGCUUUCUCUCAAAAUAACUCCAUCUUUUUUUUUUUUUUUUUUUUUGAGAAGGAGUCUCACUCUGUUGCCCAGGCUGGAGUGUAAUGGCAUGAUCUCUUCUCACUGCAACCUCCGCCUCUCAGGUUCAAGUGAUUCUCCCGCCUCAGCCUCCCGAGUAGCUGGGAUUAUAAGCACCCACCAUCAUGUCCAGCUAAUUUUUGUAUUUUUGUAGAGACAGGGUUUCACCAUGUUGGCCAGGCUUGGUCUUGAACUCCUGACCUCAGGCGAUCUUGCUUUGGCCUCCCAAAGUGCUGGGAUUACAGGCAUGAGCCACCAUGCUUGGCCAAUAACCCAAUCUUUACUCAAUAUUACCAUUGUGCAUUAUUGCACAUAAUUAGUGUAUUGGUUUAGUAUCUUUACAUCUAGACUGAAAACUGUGAGGAACCAUUUGGGUUUCUUUGCUGUAUCCCUAACACCUGGCAAGGGCCUGGUAUAGUGAAAAUGCGUAACAAAUAAUUGUUGAAGUCUAGGCACGGUGGCUCACACCUGUAAUCCCAACACUUUGAGAGGCUGACGUGGGUGGAUCACUUGACCUCAGGGAGGGUACAAGACCAGCCUGGGCAACAUGGUGAAACCCCAUCUCUACUAAAAAUACAAAAAUUAGCAGGACGUGAUGGCACAUGCCUGUGGUCCCAGCUACUCAGGAGACUGAGGCAGCAGAAUUGCUUGAACCUGGGAGGUGGAGGUUGCAGUGAGCCGGGAUUGCGAUCCUGCCUAAAAAAAGAAAAAUAACAAAAUAAUUGAUAAGUGAAAACUAGGUGCAAGUAUAGGAGUUGAGAGCAAAGUGGGCAAAGGCAGAUUUUUUCUUAGUAAACGCUGUAUUGUUUUGUACUUUCUUUCUGAUCUGCUGCAUUUUGGGAUCCACUUGCAACUUAAACCUGAUGUUGGCCAGGUGUGGUGGCUCACACCUGUAAUCUAGUACUGUUGGAGGCCGAGGCGAGUGGAUUGCCAGAGCUCAGGAGUUUGAGACCAGCCUGGGCCACAUGAUGAAACUUCGUCUUUAGUAAAAUACAAAAAUUAGCCAGAUACGGUGGUGCACGCCUGCAGUCCCAGCUGCUUGGGAGGCUGAGGCAGGAGAAUCGCUUGAACCUGGGAGGCGGAAGUUGCAAUGGGAUGAGAUUGCUCCAUUGCACUCCAGCCUGGGCAACAGGGUGAGACUCCAUCUCAAAAAACAAAAACAAAGCAAAAAAAUCCCUGAUGUUAACAAGAAUGUGCACAGCGAUAAGGCUGUAUACGAAGUGCAGAUGAUGGGGACAAAUUGAGGCCAAAUCAGAUGAAAGCAGAGCUUGGGACUCAGGACCCCUCCUUCCUGGGAGCUGAAUAGACUCGGGUGGCAGGAAAGAGGCUCUGGCUGCCGGAUAGCUCUGGGUGGGCCCAGAGCAAAUGACCUGACCUGGUCCCCCUCACCCACUCCUGCAGUGGCUAUCACUUAGAAAUCAGCAUCCAGGCUGGGUGCGGUGGCCACGCCUGCAAUCCCAGCGCUUUAGGAGGCCGAGGCAGGUGGAUCACCUGAGGUCAGGAGUUUGAGACCAGCCUGAACAAUACGGUGAAACCCCAUCUCUACUAAAAAUACAAAAAAUUAGCCGAUGUGGUGGCGGGCGUCUGUAAUCCCAGCUACUCGGGAGGCUGAGGCAGGAGAACUGCUUGAACCCAGGAGGUGGAGGAUUGCUUGAGUCCAGGAGUUCAAGGCUGCACAUGAACUGUGAUUGUGCCACUGAAGGGCCCUAUCUCAAAGACAAAACGAAAAAUAAAUAAAAAUUUAAAUGAGGAGGCGGGAGCUACAUCAGAUUGGAGUUACCAGCAAGGAAAGCAGGGAGGAAAAAUGAAAAAGUGAGACUACCUCAACCCUGGUCAGUUGCAGAGACCUGGGAGCCCUCUGGACAAGGGAGCCACUCUCUCAAGAGUGAAGCACCACCCACUGCCACUUCAAGACAGGAGUUAUGCCCAGCCCAGGUGGGCAGUGGUGGCCUUGAAGGCAGAGCUUUGUUUCUGUGCAGGCCUGUUGGGCAGGAGGGAAGAGCGGAGAGGGAGUGAGAUCUGGCAUCGUCUCUAAGCACUGAGUGUCUGUGGGAUCCCUAAACAGCCCUGAACCUCACUCAUUCCUUCCUUGUCCUCAGGCUUCUCCCUAUUCCCCACAGAUCUAAGGCUGCCAGCUGUCCCUGCCCUGAGGCUGUCCCCUGCAACCAGGGAGGCCACAGCCCCCCAGCUGGGACCUGCAGCCUCAAGGACUCUUAUUCCACAAGUAGCUUUUCCUGAGGGUGUGCUGGAGACAAACAGCAUGGCGAAGGGUAAUGAAACUCAGGCCCUAUUUUUCUUUUGAGACGAAGUCUCCCUCUGUCACUCAGGCUGGAGUGCAGUGGCGUGAUCUCUGCUCACUGCAACCUCCACCUCCUGGGUUCAAGUGAUCUUCCUGCCUCAGUCCCCGAGUAGCUGGGAUUACAGGCUUGUGCCCCACGCCUGGCUAAUGUAUUUUUAGUAGAGACGGGGUUUCACCACGUUGACCAGGCUGGUCUCCAACUCAUGACCUCAGGUGAUCCGCCUGCCUUGGCAUCCCAAAGUGCCAGGAUGACAGGCAUGAACCACUGUGCCCGGCCUGAGAGAGGAAGAUUUUUCUACAGAAGUAUUUCAGCUAAUAAGCUAAGAAAAUAGAAAAUUAGGGCCAGGCACAGUGGCUUACACCUGUCAUCCCAGCACUUUGGGAGCCCAGGAGUUUAAGACCAGCCUUGGCAACAUAGGGAGACCUCAUCUCUAAAAGAAAUAA